GGCUUAGAGUUUGAUCCUGGCUCAGAUUGAACGCUGGCGGCAUGCCUUACACAUGCAAGUCGAACGGUAACAGGUCUUCGGAUGCUGACGAGUGGCGAACGGGUGAGUAAUACAUCGGAACGUGCCCGAUCGUGGGGGAUAACGAGGCGAAAGCUUUGCUAAUACCGCAUACGAUCUACGGAUGAAAGCGGGGGAUCUUCGGACCUCGCGCGGACGGAGCGGCCGAUGGCAGAUUAGGUAGUUGGUGGGAUAAAAGCUUACCAAGCCGACGAUCUGUAGCUGGUCUGAGAGGAUGAUCAGCCACACUGGGACUGAGACACGGCCCAGACUCCUACGGGAGGCAGCAGUGGGGAAUUUUGGACAAUGGGCGAAAGCCUGAUCCAGCCAUGCCGCGUGCAGGAUGAAGGCCUUCGGGUUGUAAACUGCUUUUGUACGGAACGAAAAGCCUCUUUCUAAUAG
Molecule: ribosomal RNA, 459 nt
Filed under: uncultured bacterium
Lineage: Bacteria
Description: SSU rRNA
Rfam family: Bacterial small subunit ribosomal RNA
Source: RNAcentral